This is a long non-coding RNA of Pantherophis guttatus, 533 nucleotides long. RefSeq lists it as uncharacterized. The record is from RefSeq and is a predicted model, not a curated record. NCBI's taxonomy places the organism in Eukaryota, Metazoa, Chordata, Lepidosauria, Squamata, Colubridae.
UGUUGAAUCCUUCCUACAGGCUCCAAUACCACUAAGCCUUGGAGAGGAUUUGCUUUCCUUGUUUUCUUCGAAGUAUGCCUUUUAAUUCUGACCAUUUUCCUUUGAUGUCCUUGAUGCUUAGAACUCAAACAUCUCUUGCCUGCUCUUGCAGUAAAAUUCUGAAAUAAGAUUACAAAAUUCUAAUCAGGUCUAGAGACUGACAGCCAUGAGGAUGAUUUGCAUAUUCUUUGCCAGUGUCAUCUUGUCUUUCCUGGCUGGUUCAGGCAAAGGAGAUUUUGUCACACUGGGCUGCCUUUUCCGAGGUGGAACCUGUGAAACUAACACCUGUAAGGAAAAUGAAAUACAGAUUGGGAAUUGCUCCAAGAUUCAAAAAAUAUGCUGUAAGAAACCGAAACCAGCUCUAAAGGGAACAGACACCUGGAGGAACUAGCCCUAGAUCCAUGGACAGAUAGAUAAGUGAUGAGUUUGCUAAUAUGUUUUGGUACAGUUUUGUUUUGUGCACAUGCCAUUUUCUUUAAAAAGUUUGAAGAUGU